Molecule: ribosomal RNA, 526 nt
Filed under: uncultured bacterium
Lineage: Bacteria
Description: bacterial SSU rRNA
Rfam family: Bacterial small subunit ribosomal RNA
Source: RNAcentral
ACAUCCAGCGAACUUGGCAGAGAUGCCUUGGUGCCUUCGGGAACGCUGAGACAGGUGCUGCAUGGCUGUCGUCAGCUCGUGUUGUGAAAGUGUUGGGUUAAGUCCCGCAACGAGCGCAACCCUUAUCCUUUGUUGCCAGCGAUUCGGUCGGGAACUCAAAGGAGACUGCCGGUGAUAAACCGGAGGAAGGUGGGGAUGACGUCAAGUCAUCAUGGCCCUUACGAGUAGGGCUACACACGUGCUACAAUGGCGCAUACAAAGAGAAGCGACCUCGCGAGAGCAAGCGGACCUCAUAAAGUGCGUCGUAGUCCGGAUCGGAGUCUGCAACUCGACUCCGUGAAGUCGGAAUCGCUAGUAAUCGUGGAUCAGAAUGCCACGGUGAAUACGUUCCCGGGCCUUGUACACACCGCCCGUCACACCAUGGGAGUGGGUUGCAAAAGAAGUAGGUAGCUUAACCUUCGGGAGGGCGCUUACCACUUUGUGAUUCAUGACUGGGGUGAAGUCGUAACAAGGUAAGCGUAGCGAG